RNAcentral lists this ribosomal RNA (303 nucleotides) under uncultured bacterium. RNAcentral's name for it is "partial 16S ribosomal RNA". It matches the Rfam family "Bacterial small subunit ribosomal RNA", at positions 524 to 837 of the family's 1533-position model. The record is from RNAcentral.
GACAGAGGGUGCAAACGUUGUUCGGAAUUACUGGGCGUAAAGCGCACGUAGGCGGAUAUUUAAGUCAGGGGUGAAAUCCCAGAGCUCAACUCUGGAACUGCCUUUGAUACUGGGUAUCUUGAGUAUGGAAGAGGUAAGUGGAAUUGCGAGUGUAGAGGUGAAAUUCGUAGAUAUUCGCAGGAACACCGGUGGCGAAGGCGGUUCUCUGGGCCUGUACUGACGCUGAGGAGCGAAAGCGUGGGGAGCAAACAGGAUUGAAGAUACCCCGGGUAGUCCAGAACCAAGUCCUCCUACGGUCCUACC